This 1492-nucleotide long non-coding RNA is filed under the name Rattus norvegicus (Norway rat). RNAcentral's name for it is "long non-coding RNA NONRATT010686". Lineage: Eukaryota; Metazoa; Chordata; Mammalia; Rodentia; Muridae. The record is from RNAcentral.
GAAACCAAGUGUCUGAACUACCUUGCUUACUUAUCUUUUUAGAGGGCAGACUUAUUGGUAAUGGCUUUUUUUUUUCUUGUUUUUGCUUUAUUUUUGUACCUCCACAUUCCCUUAGGUGGGGAAUUUCAACAGUGGGGUCUUCUCUCACAUUCAGGCCUUGGCACACAAGUCUGUCUUCAGGACAGCUGAUCCAUUUUACUUACAAAUUCAGAAAGUAAACAUUGGCAGUAUGGAUCUGGUUACUUCAUGGUAACUGCUCUAGAAUUUACGCCAAGGCCAUCUCUUUUGCCUCACUGUUCAGUGACCGGAGUAAAGCAUGGGGCCACUGAAACUCCACUUUACAAUUGGGCUUCUAAAUUUAAGGAAAAAUUUUUUUGAUUUAACCACAACUGAUUCCAAAGUUCAUCUUAUUCUAAAUUAGGCCCACUGAGCCUGUGAUGUUUUGGAAUAUAUGAUUAGUCCACUUGGUUCACUGGAUGUUACCUAUCAUGUUAUGUAGAGAAACAGCCAUAACUAUUGGUCACGAUGUCGUCCUCCGAAUUGGGAAUGGCUCUGUUGUUGGAAACAAAGUAUUUGUAAACACGUUGAUCAAAGCGGUGUGCUUUGGCCUUUCUGGGAAUCACUGAUUAUGUUUGAAAACUUCCUUUAAUUGUAUUUGUAAUAAGCUAUUUUCCCUUUUUAUUUCUCUCCCAUGCUUCCUUGCUUUGCACUGUGGUCGCAUGCCAUCUGCUGGUUAACCCAUGAUGGCUUGCUGCUCUGAUAUUCACCAUGCCAAAUACCACUUCUAUUACCAUAAUGCUACACCCUCCUGUUCAUUGCUCCCAUGGUUCCCCUCCUGAAAGUACCCAUGAUGCACAGCGCUACGUCCGCCACUGUCUCUGCAGCAACAACUCCUGCAACAAGUGUCCCCUUCGCAGCAACAGCCACAGCCAAUCAGAUAAUUCUGAAAUAAUCAACAGAAAUGGAAUGGAAUGCCAAGAAUCUGCAUUGAGAAUAACUAAACAUUGUUACUGUACAUACUAUCCCCUUUGCUCCUCAAUAGAAUUGCCACAAACUGCAUGCUAAAUUUAGUUCUUCCGGACAGACCGCAACCCUAAGGCUAGUUCUGCUAUGUCAUAUACGAGUAUUAAAUAUGGUAUGCUUAGUAUAUUCCAGCCUAAGAUAGUUAACUACCUGAGACCAGCUGCGAUGUUCAAAGACAUACAGGAUGAGGUUUUCUUUUACAGGGUUCUGAGCGUAGUUUCUGUCCCAGGAAUAUUGUCUUAUCUCCAUAACUAUAGCCGAUGCAGAAAGCCCACCCAGUAUACACAUUUCGACUCAGAAUACUUCAAAUUUAGCAAUAAGCAGUUAGCUUUAGUUUAAGUACCUAUUCCAAGGGCAGGUUCGAUUCUAAUUCCAAUCACCACCAUUUCAUUUCCUGACUGGAUCAUAAGGGUAUGAUUUCACUUCCUGAGGAGACGGACACUCGAAGCAGGAGACGGGAAGUGAAGUA